Molecule: ribosomal RNA, 489 nt
Filed under: uncultured bacterium
Lineage: Bacteria
Description: partial 16S ribosomal RNA
Rfam family: Bacterial small subunit ribosomal RNA
Source: RNAcentral
GACGAACGCUGGCGGCGUGCUUAACACAUGCAAGUCGAGCGGUAAGGCCCUUCGGGGUACACGAGCGGCGAACGGGUGAGUAACACGUGGGUGACCUGCCCUCCACUCUGGGAUAAGCCUGGGAAACUGGGUCUAAUACCGGAUAUGACCACGGGAUGCAUGUUCUGUGGUGGAAAGUUUUGUCGGUGGGGGAUGGGCCCGCGGUCUAUCAGCUUGUUGGUGGGGUGAUGGCCUACCAAGGCGACGACGGAUAGCCGGCCUGAGAGGGUGAUCGGCCACACUGGGACUGAGACACGGCCCAGACUCCUACGGGAGGCAGCAGUGGGGAAUCUUGCGCAAUGGGCGGAAGCCUGACGCAGCAACGCCGCGUGGGGGAUGACGGCCUUCGGGUUGUAAACCUCUUUCGCGAUCGACGAAGGCCCACUUUCUGUGGGUUGACGGUAGGUCGAGAAGAAGCACCGGCCAACUACGUGCCAGCCGCCGCCGUAA